RNAcentral lists this ribosomal RNA (458 nucleotides) under uncultured bacterium. RNAcentral's name for it is "partial 16S ribosomal RNA". It matches the Rfam family "Bacterial small subunit ribosomal RNA", at positions 28 to 505 of the family's 1533-position model. The record is from RNAcentral.
GACGAACGCUGGCGGCGUGCUUAACACAUGCCAGUCGAGCGGUAAGGCCUCUUCGGGGGUACACGAGCGGCGCACGGGUGAGUAACACGUGGGUGACCUGCCCUCAGCUCUGGGAUAAGCCUGGGAAACUGGGUCUAAUACCGGAUAUGACCUUUCCUCGCAUGGGGUUUGGUGGAAAGUUUUUUCGGCUGGGGAUGGGCCCGCGGCCUAUCAGCUUGUUGGUGGGGUGAUGGCCUACCAAGGCGACGACGGGUAGCCGGCCUGAGAGGGCGACCGGCCACACUGGGACUGAGACACGGCCCAGACUCCUACGGGAGGCAGCAGUGGGGAAUAUUGCGCAAUGGGCGGAAGCCUGACGCAGCGACGCCGCGUGGGGGAUGACGGCCUUCGGGUUGUAAACCUCUUUCGACCCCGACGAAUUUGGACGGUAGGGGUAGAAGAAGCGCCGGCCAACUACG